Molecule: long non-coding RNA, 594 nt
Organism: Rhinolophus ferrumequinum (greater horseshoe bat)
Lineage: Eukaryota; Metazoa; Chordata; Mammalia; Chiroptera; Rhinolophidae
Exons: 3
Source: RefSeq, a predicted model, not a curated record
CAUGUCUGGAGAAGGGGGCCAGAGGACCGAAAGAGGGGAAGGGACCUUGGCACUAGAUAAGAGCUAGAGGCCGGGAGGCUCAAGGCUGGCUUUUGCACCCGCAAAAGUCUUGCACUCUCACACACGCAAGUCUUAGCCCUGCAGGAGCAAGCCGCUGCAGAGCCGAGGGCCUUCCUCGGCGGAGCCUCCGCCCUCUGGUGGCAGCGUGCAAAAGUUACAGCUGCUCGCAAGGCCCCGCCUCCCCGCGCAGGGGAUGAGGGGCUGCGCAGCCACUCACUUAUCCUGCAAGCAAGGGGCCCUCAGCGAGCUUUCAACUGAGACCUGAAACCUGCCCAAAGCAGAAGCCAGGCAUGGGUGAGCCAAGACUGGAACCUGGGACUCCGGAUACGCCACCCAACUGACUGCUUUCAACUACCUCUGAACGCGCUGCUGAUCCCAGAGGCCGUGCAGAGGCCAGGAUGCCCCGCUCCAGCCCUUCAAGAUCCCUAAAACCAUCAUUACUCCAUUAAUAAAAAAAAGGCUUAUAAAGGUGGCAUCAUCCCAUAUUUUUAAAUUUGUGGAAAAUGUAAUAAAGAAAAGUACCAAGCAGUUGAA